UACGUAGGGGGCUAGCGUUGUCCGGAAUCAUUGGGCGUAAAGCGCGUGUAGGCGGUCCGGUAAGUCCGCUGUGAAAGUCGGGGGCUCAACCCUCGGAUGCCGGUGGAUACUGUCGGGCUUGAGUACGGAAGAGGCGAGUGGAAUCCUGGUGUAGCGGUGAAAUGCGCAGAUAUCAGGAGGAACACCAAUUGCGAAGGCAGCUCGCUGGGACGUUACUGACGCUGAGACGCGAAAGCGUGGGAGCAAACAGG
Molecule: ribosomal RNA, 251 nt
Filed under: uncultured bacterium
Lineage: Bacteria
Description: partial 16S ribosomal RNA
Rfam family: Bacterial small subunit ribosomal RNA
Source: RNAcentral